AGUGAACGCUGGCGGUAGGCCUAACACAUGCAAGUCGAACGGCAGCACAGUAAGAGCUUGCUCUUACGGGUGGCGAGUGGCGGACGGGUGAGGAAUACAUCGGAAUCUACUUUUUCGUGGGGGAUAACGUAGGGAAACUUACGCUAAUACCGCAUACGACCUACGGGUGAAAGCAGGGGAUCUUCGGACCUUGCGCGGUUGAAUGAGCCGAUGUCGGAUUAGCUAGUUGGCGGGGUAAAGGCCCACCAAGGCGACGAUCCGUAGCUGGUCUGAGAGGAUGAUCAGCCACACUGGAACUGAGACACGGUCCAGACUCCUACGGGAGGCAGCAGUGGGGAAUAUUGGACAAUGGGCGCAAGCCUGAUCCAGCCAUACCGCGUGGGUGAAGAAGGCCUUCGGGUUGUAAAGCCCUUUUGUUGGGAAAGAAAAGCAGCAGGUUAAUACCCUGCUGUUCUGACGGUACCCAAAGAAUAAGCACCGGCUAACUUCGUG
This 492-nucleotide ribosomal RNA is filed under the name uncultured bacterium. Its description in RNAcentral is "partial 16S ribosomal RNA". It matches the Rfam family "Bacterial small subunit ribosomal RNA", at positions 29 to 507 of the family's 1533-position model. The record is from RNAcentral.